GAAGUCUCUCUGGCUGGGAAAGAGUCAGUAGUAAU
Molecule: transfer RNA, 35 nt
Filed under: Karenia brevis
Lineage: Eukaryota; Dinophyceae; Gymnodiniales; Kareniaceae
Description: partial Selenocysteine transfer RNA
Source: RNAcentral